AUUGAACGCUGGCGGCAGGCUUAACACAUGCAAGUCGAGCGGAGAGAGGUAGCUUGCUACUGAUCUUAGCGGCGGACGGGUGAGUAAUGCUUAGGAAUCUGCCUAUUAGUGGGGGACAACAUUUCGAAAGGAAUGCUAAUACCGCAUACGUCCUACGGGAGAAAGCAGGGGAUCUUCGGACCUUGCGCUAAUAGAUGAGCCUAAGUCGGAUUAGCUAGUUGGUGGGGUAAAGGCCUACCAAGGCGACGAUCUGUAGCGGGUCUGAGAGGAUGAUCCGCCACACUGGGACUGAGACACGGCCCAGACUCCUACGGGAGGCAGCAGUGGGGAAUAUUGGACAAUGGGCGCAAGCCUGAUCCAGCCAUGCCGCGUGUGUGAAGAAGGCCUUAUGGUUGUAAAGCACUUUAAGCGAGGAGGAGGCUACUUUAGUUAAUACCUAGAGAUAGUGGACGUUACUCGCAGAAUAAGCACCGGCUAACUCUGUGCCAGCAGCCGCGGUAAUACAGAGGGUGCAAGCGUUAAUCGGAUUUACUGGGCGUAAAGCGCGCGUAGGCGGCUAAUUAAGUCAAAUGUGAAAUCCCCGAGCUUAACUUGGGAAUUGCAUUCGAUACUGGUUAGCUAGAGUGUGGGAGAGGAUGGUAGAAUUCCAGGUGUAGCGGUGAAAUGCGUAGAGAUCUGGAGGAAUACCGAUGGCGAAGGCAGCCAUCUGGCCUAACACUGACGCUGAGGUGCGAAAGCAUGGGGAGCAAACAGGAUUAGAUACCCUGGUAGUCCAUGCCGUAAACGAUGUCUACUAGCCGUUGGGGCCUUUGAGGCUUUAGUGGCGCAGCUAACGCGAUAAGUAGACCGCCUGGGGAGUACGGUCGCAAGACUAAAACUCAAAUGAAUUGACGGGGGCCCGCACAAGCGGUGGAGCAUGUGGUUUAAUUCGAUGCAACGCGAAGAACCUUACCUGGCCUUGACAUAGUAAGAACUUUCCAGAGAUGGAUUGGUGCCUUCGGGAACUUACAUACAGGUGCUGCAUGGCUGUCGUCAGCUCGUGUCGUGAGGUGUUGGGUUAAGUCCCGCAACGAGCGCAACCCUUUUCCUUAUUUGCCAGCGAGUAAUGUCGGGAACUUUAAGGAUACUGCCAGUGACAAACUGGAGGAAGGCGGGGACGACGUCAAGUCAUCAUGGCCCUUACGGCCAGGGCUACACACGUGCUACAAUGGUCGGUACAAAGGGUUGCUACCUAGCGAUAGGAUGCUAAUCUCAAAAAGCCGAUCGUAGUCCGGAUUGGAGUCUGCAACUCGACUCCAUGAAGUCGAAAUCGCUAGUAAUCGCGGAUCAGAAUGCCGCGGUGAAUACGUUCCCGGGCCU
RNAcentral lists this ribosomal RNA (1359 nucleotides) under uncultured bacterium. RNAcentral describes it as "bacterial SSU rRNA". It matches the Rfam family "Bacterial small subunit ribosomal RNA", at positions 28 to 1381 of the family's 1533-position model. The record is from RNAcentral.